GCCGUGAUCGUCUAGUGGUUAGUACCCUACGUUGUGGUACCUACUAGAUAUAAUUCCUUAGUAACCCAGGUUCGAAUCCUGGUCACGGCA
Molecule: non-coding RNA, 90 nt
Organism: Daphnia pulex (common water flea)
Lineage: Eukaryota; Metazoa; Arthropoda; Branchiopoda; Diplostraca; Daphniidae
Source: Rfam